GAUGAACGCUGGCGGCGUGCUUAACACAUGCAAGUCGAACGAAGAAGAGUUGAAUGAGAGCUUCGGCAGGAUUUCUUCUCAUCUUAGUGGCGGACGGGUGAGUAACGUGUGGGCAACCUGCCCUGUACUGUGGAAUAAUCACUGGAAACGGUGACUAAUACCGCAUGUCAUCUUCGGAAGGCAUCUUCUGAAGAAAAAAGGAUUUAUUCGGUACAGGAUGGGCCCGCAUCUGAUUAGCUAGUUGGUGAGAUAACAGCCCACCAAGGCGACGAUCAGUAGCCGACCUGAGAGGGUGAUCGGCCACAUUGGGACUGAGACACGGCCCAA
This 327-nucleotide ribosomal RNA is filed under the name uncultured bacterium. RNAcentral's name for it is "bacterial SSU rRNA". It matches the Rfam family "Bacterial small subunit ribosomal RNA", at positions 28 to 334 of the family's 1533-position model. The record is from RNAcentral.